This is a long non-coding RNA of Serinus canaria (Common canary), 2533 nucleotides long. RefSeq lists it as uncharacterized. NCBI's taxonomy places the organism in Eukaryota, Metazoa, Chordata, Aves, Passeriformes, Fringillidae. The transcript has 4 exons. The record is from RefSeq and is a predicted model, not a curated record.
CUCCCUGGAGCAGAGCUCCCCUCCUUCCCCCAGCACCCUCCAGGCAGCUGCAGCCCAGUUUUCUGUUGGAUUUAAUUCUUUUGUGCUUUGUGCCCAUUCCCUCAGCCCCUGCCCUUGGGAGCAGCUGGAUUGGGUCAGUUUGGAUCCCAGUUUGGAUCCCAGGUUUGGAUCCCAGGUUUGGGUCCCAGUUUGGAUCCCAGUUUGGGUCCCAGUUUGGGUCCCAGGUUUGGGUCCCAGGUUUGGGUCCCAGGUUUGGGUCCCAGGUUUGGGUCCCAGGUUUGGAUCCCAGGUUUGGAUCCCAGUUUGGAUCCCAGGUUUGGAUCCCAGUUUGGGUCCCAGGUUGGGUCCCAGGUUUGGAUCCCAGUUUGGAUCCCAGGUUUGGAUCCCAGGUUUGGAUCCCAGUUGGGUCCCAGUUUGGGUCCCAGUUUGGGUCCCAGUUUGGAUCCCAGCUUGGACUGGGACAAGCCCCCAGCUCCUCCCUGGUGAGUGGUCAGAGGUGAGCCCAGGCUCGGGAGGGACCCCUGGGUGUGCAGGAGGGGCUGGGCUGGGCUCGGGAGGCUGGAGGUGCCUCUGGGAGGAGGAGGAGGAGGAGGAGGAGGAGGAGGAGGAGCUGCCCUGUCCCCUCCUGGGGCUUUUCUUUGGGGGGAAAUGCCUGAGUUCCCCCCGGGUUUGUGCAGCUGCAGGGGGGAUUCUGGACCUUAAAUCCUCCUUUUUCUUGCUCCCUUCUCCCGGUCCCUUUGCCAGGUGGCUGCUGUGAGAUUCCAGAUUCCAGGGGUUGGGGUGCUGAGCAGGGCUGGAGAGGAUGGAGCAGUGAAAUUCCAAACUGCAGGGAUUUCGGUGCCUGUACCGAGCUGUGGCAGGGGAUGAAGCUGCAGGUUUGGGGAGAAUCAAACACAAACUGGGGGUGCUGGGGACGCCCAGGUGCCACCUGAGUGCCAGUGCCAUGCUGGGUUUUCCUCCCUGUCCUUCCCUGCCUUUUCCAACAGCAGACCCCGAGCACCCAGGGAAGUUGGGAGCUGAGAGGUGAGUGAGGAGGUGAUGAGAAGCUUCAGCCAGGUUUGGAGAGGGAAGGGCAAAUAUUCAUGGUAGAAAUCUCAUUUUGUCAUAUCAGAGGUGGCAUCAGUGUACACAAACAAAGCAACUCGGGAUUUUUGUAAUUGAUAUUCUCUUGUAUUUUUUUUAGGUUCGAUUAGGGGUUCUUGCUGACAUGUUGAAACACGUUUUCUAAAGCAAAAACUUGCAAAUUAUGCCUAUAGAAAUUUAGGUUUCGUAGCUGACAGCUGUGACUGAUUCACGUUGUCAUAUUGGAGGGACUUGGCUCACAAAGCUCAACCUUUUCAACCCCAGAUUUGCUUUUAUUGCCUUUUAAUACUGACUUGAAAUAUGACAACUUGGUUUGUACAUGAAUAUUGCAGUAUUUUAUUUCCAUAUAUUAAGAAAAUAACAUUUCCACUCAGGAUAACGGCGGUGCUUUUCCUGGGAGGGAGUGGUAUGAGUGUCAUGACAAUGUCAUGUGAUGGUAGAAUUUCUUCAUUGACGAAUCUAUAGUGGUUGUGUAUACUUUAUUUACCCACCUUUGUGUUCCUACCCGAAACCGGAGCCUUUUGUUGUUCCCUCCCUGCUGAGCCCCGGGGGCACAAUUGGAGAAAGCCCUCCCUGGGUCCUUCACACCCCAAAAAAAAAGUGCAAACCCCGAAAUUUCGGGCACAGCAGCGCUGCAGGCCCCGGUGCUGGCAGAGCCCUGGACCCUCCGAGCAGCCUGGGCUGGCAGAGCCUGCAGAGACCGGCCCCAAUUCUCCACCCAAAAUCGGCCUCUUCUUCCUCCUCUCUCUCCCCUUUUCCUUUCCUGAUCCAGGUUGGGGGGUCAGGGGGGGUCACUCCUCUUUAGCCCAGAGCCCCACCGGGUGCAGUUUGUGGUUCUGGGGCUCCCGGGGCUGGCUGAGAUUGGGGGUGGGCUUGGAGCCACCCCGGGGGCUCCUGGCUGGGGCUGGGGGUGACACCAGGGGUGGCUCUGCCCUGCCGGGGGUGGCUCUGUCCCCUCCCUGUCCUCUCUGCCCUCCCAGGGGUGGCUCUGUCCCCUCUCUGUCCCCUCUCUGCCCCCUCUGCCCCCCGUGCUGCCAGCCCCAGUCCCUCCCCUGUAUUUGUCUCUUCAGAACAACCUCUGGCAUAACAAACUAUUGACUGUUCUUAGGCGGUGGGGAUAAUUUUCCUUUUUUUUUCCAGGACUUUUCGUGACUGACUUUGGCUGUAAAACUUUUUUGUUCAACAGCAAAAGUUUAUUUCGGGUUUUUCUUUUUUUUUUUUUAAUUUUGUUUGAUUAUUUUUUGUUGUUCCAAGAUGUGUAAUUCUCUUAUGGAUUCUUUUUUUUUUUUUGUUAUUAUUCCUUUUUUUUUUUUCUAACAUUGCUUCAUUAAACAACUAAAUAUUUAAAAAUGUAAUAUUUGGACCAGAUGUUGUGAAUAAUAGUAGAUAAAGCUAUUUUAUUCUGUAUUUUUAAAGCUGUUCAGUAUAAAUAAACGCGGGCAUAGAUGCA